Molecule: ribosomal RNA, 484 nt
Filed under: uncultured bacterium
Lineage: Bacteria
Description: partial 16S ribosomal RNA
Rfam family: Bacterial small subunit ribosomal RNA
Source: RNAcentral
GACGAACGCUGGCGGCGUGCUUAACACAUGAAAGUCGAACGAUCAAGCCGGAGCUUGCUCUGGUGAAUUAGUGGCGAACGGGUGAGUAACACGUGAGUAACCAGCCCUUGACUCUGGGAUAACUGCGGGUAACUGUCCCGAAAACCGGAUACGCCCCUCGGAUGCAUCUCCUGGGGGUGGAAAGAAUUUCGGUAAAGGAUGGACGUGCGGCCUAUCAGCUAGUUGGUGAGGUGAAGGCUCACCAAGGCGACGACGGUUAGCCGGCCUGAGAGGGUGACCGGCCACACUGGGACUGAGACACGGGCCAGACUCCUACGGGAGGCAGCAGUGGGGAAUAUUGCACAAUGGGCGCAAGCCUGAUGCAGCAACGCCGCGUGAGGGAUGACGGCCUUCAGGUUGUAAACCACUUUUAGCAGGGAAGAAACGAAAGUGACGGUACCUGCAGAAAAAGCACCGGCUAACUACGUGCCAGCCGCCGCCGUAA